Long non-coding RNA from Vespa mandarinia (Asian giant hornet), 1370 nucleotides. NCBI's taxonomy places the organism in Eukaryota, Metazoa, Arthropoda, Insecta, Hymenoptera, Vespidae. The record is from RefSeq and is a predicted model, not a curated record.
CUCUCUCUCUCUCUCUCUCUCUCUUUCUCUCUGUCUCUUCAACACAAUGAUGUUUAUCGUAAAAGCUCUUAAAGCUAGAACGUAAGACACACGAUAGCGCAUCUUCUUGGCGAUAAAAGCUUUAAACGGUGCGUUCACUUUGGUAUCCCGUCGAGCGCAGUAGCGCAAUGUGAAAGACGAAGAAGAAGACGAAAGAUAAAAAGAAGAAGAAGAAGAAGAAGAAGAUGAAAAAAAAGAAGAAAAAGAAGAAGUUCUUCCUUACAUGGAUUUUUAAUGGGGAAAAAGAGCUGUACGGUGGUCGCGUGCCAAAGUUAAUACUUGUUUGAGUAUCAAGAAGUGUUAGUAUGUCUGAACGAUACACCUGUCCACCAUCUUGGUCGGCCGAUCUUAAAGUACAAGAAACAAGGCCCAACGAUGAGGGCCCAACUAAAAAAGCGGCGCAAUGUCGCGCUAGAAGAACCGGGGAAAAGGCCAAAAGAGAGAAAGAGAGAGAGACCCUUCAUCAGUAUAAUAAAGUCGAACGCCAAGGGACGAGGAUGAUGUUCGUUCGACCGGAAAAAUUGAUAUGAAAAAAAAAGGACAACGACUUUUCAACGAUAUAUGGGAACGAUUUCCAAAAUAAAUUUAUUAUACCACAAAAAGAAAAAGAAAAAAAAAGGAAAAAAAGGAAGAAAGGGAGAAAAAAACAAACAAACAAACAAACGAAUGAACGAACGAACGUAAUAAAUUUCAAAUCGGCUGCAAUAUCGCUCUAUCGAGAAUAAAAUAUAAACAAAAACAAAGAAAAACAAAGAAAGACAAGAUUACAUAAAAAUAAUUUCUAUCGAUUAAAACGGAUGAUUGGAAAUUUUAUAAAAAUUGCAAGAUACCGCUAUAAUCAAGUGGAGAAGUAUCAUCGACUAAAAUACACUUACAUCACACCAAUCAAUAGUGCAUACAUUUGGAAUAUAUCCAAGUAACAAACGAGUAGUAUACUAUCAUCGCUUAUGCGUUUCGUAGCAAGCAUGUACCGUUGCAGAGAGAUCCAACCAACAGUAAAAUGAGAGGGAGAGGAGGAAGAAGAGGAGUAGGAGCAGGAGGAGGAGGAAGAAGAGGAGGAGGAAGAAGGAGUGCAGAGAAGGAGAAGAAGGAGAGAAUGGUCUGAAUGGAAUAGCGAAUCGACUUUCAAGGGAAACCUCAGAGGAGACAAGUUCUCGACUAUUCCCAUCACUUUCCAUUGUCUACUAUGAAUCUUGAUUCUAUAUACGAAUGUAUGUGUUCCUAUCUGUGUGUGUGUUUAAGAAGCAUAGAUACAGAGAACACUAUUAGCACGUUUCUUCUCCCUCUCCAUAUACAUAUAUAGAAGAGCAAAAGAAAAGAAAAGAAAAAGA